AUAAAAGAAUUAAUUUAAUUUAAUUUUAGUUUCGACCUAAACUCAGAGAAACUUCUCCUUUUUUA
Molecule: transfer RNA, 65 nt
Filed under: Pauropus longiramus
Lineage: Eukaryota; Metazoa; Arthropoda; Pauropoda; Tetramerocerata; Pauropodidae
Description: tRNA-Arg
Source: RNAcentral